This 230-nucleotide ribosomal RNA is filed under the name uncultured bacterium. Its description in RNAcentral is "partial 16S ribosomal RNA". It matches the Rfam family "Bacterial small subunit ribosomal RNA", at positions 563 to 791 of the family's 1533-position model. The record is from RNAcentral.
AAGCGUGCGCAGGCGGUUAUGUAAGACAGAUGUGAAAUACCCCGGGCUCAACCUGGGAACUGCAUUUGUGACUGUAUAGCUGGAGUGCGGCAGAGGGGGAUGGAAUUCCGCGUGUAGCAGUGAAAUGCGUAGAUAUGCGGAGGAACACCGAUGGCGAAGGCAAUCCCCUGGGCCUGCACUGACGCUCAUGCACGAAAGCGUGGGGAGCAAACAGGAUUAGAUACCCUUGU